GGCUGGUCCUAGUGCAGUGGUGUUUACAACUAAUUGAUCACAACCGGUUACAGAUUUCUUUGUUCCUUCUCCACUCCCACUGCUUCACUUGACUGGCUUUUA
RNAcentral lists this Y RNA (102 nucleotides) under Aotus nancymaae (Ma's night monkey). RNAcentral describes it as "Y RNA (ENSANAG00000010294.1)". It matches the Rfam family "Y RNA". Rfam says of the family: Y RNAs are components of the Ro ribonucleoprotein particle (Ro RNP), in association with Ro60 and La proteins. The Y RNAs and Ro60 and La proteins are well conserved, but the function of the Ro RNP is not known. Lineage: Eukaryota; Metazoa; Chordata; Mammalia; Primates; Aotidae. The record is from Rfam by way of RNAcentral.